AUUUAACGCUGGCGGCAGGCCUAACACAUGCAAGUCGAGCGGAUGAAGGGAGCUUGCUCCUGGAUUCAGCGGCGGACGGGUGAGUAAUGCCUAGGAAUCUGCCUGGUUGUGGGGGAUAACGUCCGGAAACGGGCGCUAAUACCGCAUACGUCCUGAGGGCGAACGUGGGGGAUCUUCGGACCUCCCGCUAUCAGAUGAGCCUAGGUCGGAUUAGCUAGUUGGUGGGGUAACGGCCUACCAAGGCGACGAUCCGUAACUGGUCUGAGAGGAUGAUCAGUCACACUGGAACUGAGACACGGUCCAGACUCCUACGGGAGGCAGCAGUGGGGAAUAUUGGACAAUGGGCGAAAGCCUGAUCCAGCCAUGCCGCGUGGGUGAAGAAGGUCUUCGGAUUGUAAAGCACUUUAAGUUGGGAGGAAGGGCAGUAAGUUAAUACCUUGCUGUUUUGACGUUACCAAAAGAAUAAGCACCGGCUAACUUCGUG
RNAcentral lists this ribosomal RNA (484 nucleotides) under uncultured bacterium. Its description in RNAcentral is "partial 16S ribosomal RNA". It matches the Rfam family "Bacterial small subunit ribosomal RNA", at positions 32 to 507 of the family's 1533-position model. The record is from RNAcentral.